ACAACCUAGCGCGAUGUAAAUAAACCUUACGCACAGCGCUAGCGAUCCCUUUGUUUCGUUGGUGGAUUUAAAUACCCCGCAAAAGAUAUAAAAAUUGAUUGGUUUAUUAAAAUGAAUAUGCAACAGAUUACCAAAUAAGGCUUUACAAACCAUCAAUGAAGUCGGUUCGCGUACGAAUUGACCCGCGUACGAGUUGGUCGCGUACGAGUUGGUUCGCGUACGAGUUGACCUGUAUUCAGUUAUCUAGGUUCACGUUGAUAUGGACGAAAGGUUUGGGUCGACAUGCUUUCGUGAGAUUUUAGCCAAUAUUGAGGGUGAAUAAAACAGGAAUUCGUCAAGUCGCAACGUACGAAGUGUACAUGCAGUGUCAUGGCGUGACGAGUAGGGACCUUCGUCGCCAUGUUUUGGCAUGAUUUCGGAGAUUCAGACGGAAAUCUCAAAGACCUAUUGGUUGUCUCUCGGACGCUGUGGAGGAGGUUUGCCUACAGUUCUUCUUAUGCGGAGUGUACGGCAUUCCACCAUGACACGCAGAUGACGUACCCUGCCCUGACGAAGGAUACCUUCAGAAAAUUUGACAAUUUUCAUCGGUUUUGAAGAGUUUCCUCCUAUUUCUGGAUUGAAGAUGG
This is a long non-coding RNA of Patiria miniata (bat star), 626 nucleotides long. RefSeq lists it as uncharacterized. The record is from RefSeq and is a predicted model, not a curated record. The transcript has 3 exons. NCBI's taxonomy places the organism in Eukaryota, Metazoa, Echinodermata, Asteroidea, Valvatida, Asterinidae.